RNAcentral lists this small RNA (1801 nucleotides) under Pongo abelii (Sumatran orangutan). Its description in RNAcentral is "retained intron". The record is from RNAcentral. Lineage: Eukaryota; Metazoa; Chordata; Mammalia; Primates; Hominidae.
CUAGUCCGGACUCGCCGCCGCUGCCGCCAUAUUCCCGUGGCAUCUUCCUUACUUUGUCCAUCCUCCGGACUCGCGAUCUUCCUUCCGGAGCCAUGUCAGAAGGAGUGGACUUGAUUGAUAUAUAUGCUGACGAGGAGUUCAACCAGGACCCAGAGUUCAACAAUACAGAUCAGAUUGACCUGUAUGAUGAUGUGCUGACAGCCACCUCACAGCCCUCAGAUGACAGAAGCAGCAGCACUGAGCCACCUCCUCCUGUUCGCCAGGAGCCAUCUCCCAAGCCCAACAACAAGACCCCUGCAAUUCUGUAUACCUACAGUGGCCUGCGUAAUAGACGAGCUGCCGUCUAUGUGGGCAGCUUCUCCUGGGUGAGUGUGGGUAACCAAAAAUGCUUAUGGGUGGGCUGGAGGGAGAGCACUGGGAGGUGAUGGCAUUUUCAGAAACCACUGUUGCACUGUUUUGUGCUCUGAUGGGGUUGGAUUUCUUUUUCCUGGGAUCAGGUUGGAUUGAUCUCUGAAAGAGAACUAUCCUGAGGACGUACUGGUGCCGAAGAAAGCAAUGAUUAAGUGGGUAGUUGCUUUUUCUGCCAUCUUGUUACUGCCCCUGACCCUGGGGCUUUAUGUCUAGCAGGGUCAUCUGUGGGACGAGAUAUCAGAGUGAACACCUUGAACUCUUGGUGGUCAUUAGAUGGUCCUGUGAUAAUGGUGGGUGAUGGGGAUUAAACACCUUGAUAACUCUAGUAUACUUGGGGUAGGUGGUGACUGUUGUUCUGCAAGUUAUUUUGUGAUGUUUUGGGGCUGGUGGUGGGGGUGGUUUUUCCAAAUUAGGAAAUAUAUUUACUGUGAGGGAAGUUCUGGCAAUGGUCAACUCUAGCCUGUCAGAUCAAUAAUUAAAAAAUUGCUAGCUGUCAAUGUUUGAACUGAUGACCAGCCAGCCCAAAUGGCAGUCAAAGUUACAAUAAAUUUUAAUCUUCGUAAUCUCUAAAGAUAGAGAUUGGGGGUGAGUGGGUUUGGAAUUCUGUAUGGGUGCGGAGAAUAAGAAAAGUCUGCACUAAUUGAAAUAUUGCCAGGCUUUUGAGUUUCCUCUGGGGGGGACUUAGUUGUGACUAGAAUCCUGGGUUUGGGACAUUGGCGGGCGGGGGUGUAGCUCUUGACAUCUCUUCCUUUUCCAUCUUGCCGGCCCCAGUGGACCACAGACCAGCAGCUGAUCCAGGUUAUUCGCUCUAUAGGAGUCUAUGAUGUGGUGGAGUUGAAAUUUGCAGAGAAUCGAGCAAAUGGCCAGUCCAAAGGGUAUGCUGAGGUGGUGGUAGCCUCUGAAAACUCUGUCCACAAAUUGUUGGAACUCCUACCAGGGAAAGUUCUUAAUGGAGAAAAAGUGGACGUGAGGCCGGCCACCCGGCAGAACCUGUCACAGUUUGAGGCACAGGCUCGGAAACGUGAGUGUGUCCGAGUCCCAAGAGGGGGAAUACCUCCACGGGCCCAUUCCCGAGAUUCUAGUGAUUCUGCUGAUGGACGGGCCACACCCUCUGAGAACCUUGUACCCUCAUCUGCUCGUGUGGAUAAGCCCCCCAGUGUGCUGCCCUACUUCAAUCGUCCUCCUUCGGCCCUUCCCCUGAUGGGUCUGCCCCCACCACCAAUUCCACCCCCACCACCUCUCUCCUCAAGCUUUGGGGUCCCUCCUCCUCCUCCUGGUAUCCACUACCAGCAUCUCAUGCCCCCACCUCCUCGAUUACCUCCUCAUCUUGCUGUACCUCCCCCUGGGGCCAUCCCACCUGCCCUUCACCUCAAUCCAGCCUUCUUCCCCC